AAUGCAGAUUACUGCUUCUGAUCAUGGCAGUGUAGACCCAAAGGGGGGAAGCCAUUGUUGCAAUCCUCACCAGCUGAGUGGCUUCCAGGAGACUGCAAGGGCAAGGGCCUGGGGUUUUUUCUUCCUUAUUUGUCUAUGCACAGGAGGCCAUGGGGACAAUGGCUGCCUUUAGGAAGGACAGGAUGACACAGGCAUCUCUUCCUAGUUACAGUUAUAGAAUUUUGGCUAGGAAAGGGGCCCUGAAGGUCCUAGCCCCAUUUCUCAUUGCAGAGGUGAAGUAAUGAGGUUCUAAGAUAGACCUGCAGAGAUGAAGAAUUAAGUUCUGUGCUGGGCUAUAAAACACCAGGAGCAGCAAGGCCCAAGUUCUGACCUCAAAUCUAACUAUCCUUUCUUUUCCUAAGGCCACCUGGUCACCAUCACUGCUCUGGUCCAUGCUGAAGCAUCCUUUUCAGAUGAAGAAUAGACCAGCAAUCUGAAUCUGGUUCCAGAAAUCCACUUGUCCUGGAUUCAAGAGAAGGGAUCAAGGAAGUAAAAGGAGACAUAGAAGAACGGGAAGAGGAAAUGCACCCUUGCGCCUGUGUCUGCGUUGCAGACUCCUGUACCGAUACCUGGGAAGGCCGUGAUGUGCAGAUCUCAGCCUGGGCCUCCGAGGCGCUGGAGCUCGCCCAGUGUCGGGAAGCUUGAAUCAGACACGAGGCCACACACAGGACAGGGCCCAGCUCCCUGCUUGUCCUCUCCAAGUCAGCUAAUGUAGCUCCAGUUAUUUAUUUUGGGAAUUGUGUGUAUUUAGAAUUAUCUUUAGAGAUAUUUUAUAGUCAACGUUGAAGUUUGUUACAUUAAACAAUAUUUAACUCUUCUA
Microcebus murinus (gray mouse lemur) is the source of this 859-nucleotide non-coding RNA. NCBI's taxonomy places the organism in Eukaryota, Metazoa, Chordata, Mammalia, Primates, Cheirogaleidae. The record is from RefSeq and is a predicted model, not a curated record.